GAUGGGUGAGUAACACGUGGGCAAUCUGCCCUAAAGACUGGGAUACACUUGGAAACAGGUGCUAAUACCGGAUAACAACAUGAAUCGCAUGAUUCAAGUUUGAAAGGCGGCGUAAGCUGUCACUUUAGGAUGAGCCCGCGGCGCAUUAGCUAGUUGGUGGGGUAAAGGCCUACCAAGGCAAUGAUGCGUAGCCGAGUUGAGAGACUGAUCGGCCACAUUGGGACUGAGACACGGCCCAAACUCCUACGGGAGGCAGCAGUAGGGAAUCUUCCACAAUGGACGCAAGUCUGAUGGAGCAACGCCGCGUGAGUGAAGAAGGUUUUCGGAUCGUAAAGCUCUGUUGUUGGUGAAGAAGGAUAGAGGCAGUAACUGGUCUUUAUUUGACGGUAAUCAACCAGAAAGUCACGGCUAACUACGUGCCAGCAGCCGCGGUAAUACGUAGGUGGCAAGCGUUGUCCGGAUUUAUUGGGCGUAAAGCGAGCGCAGGCGGAAUGAUAAGUCUGAUGUGAAAGCCCACGGCUCAACCGUGGAACUGCAUCGGAAACUGUCAUUCUUGAGUGCAGAAGAGGAGAGUGGAAUUCCAUGUGUAGCGGUGGAAUGCGUAGAUAUAUGGAAGAACACCAGUGGCGAAGGCGGCUCUCUGGUCUGCAACUGACGCUGAGGCUCGAAAGCAUGGGUAGCGAACAGGAUUAGAUACCCUGGUAGUCCAUGCCGUAAACGAUGAGCGCUAGGUGUUGGGGACUUUCCGGUYCUCAGUGCCGCAGCAAACGCAUUAAGCGCUCCGCCUGGGGAGUACGACCGCAAGGUUGAAACUCAAAGGAAUUGACGGGGGCCCGCACAAGCGGUGGAGCAUGUGGUUUAAUUCGAAGCAACGCGAAGAACCUUACCAGGUCUUGACAUCCUGUGCUACACCUAGAGAUAGGUGGUUCCCUUCGGGGACGCAGAGACAGGUGGUGCAUGGCUGUCGUCAGCUCGUGUCGUGAGAUGUUGGGUUAAGUC
This 999-nucleotide ribosomal RNA is filed under the name Lactobacillus delbrueckii subsp. bulgaricus. RNAcentral's name for it is "bacterial SSU rRNA". It matches the Rfam family "Bacterial small subunit ribosomal RNA", at positions 100 to 1086 of the family's 1533-position model. Lineage: Bacteria; Bacillati; Bacillota; Bacilli; Lactobacillales; Lactobacillaceae. The record is from RNAcentral.